Molecule: ribosomal RNA, 528 nt
Filed under: uncultured Bacteroidota bacterium
Lineage: Bacteria; Pseudomonadati; Bacteroidota
Description: bacterial SSU rRNA
Rfam family: Bacterial small subunit ribosomal RNA
Source: RNAcentral
CCUACGGGAGGCAGCAGUGAGGAAUAUUGGACAAUGGAGGCAACUCUGAUCCAGCCAUGCCGCGUGAAGGAAGAAUGUCCUAUGGAUUGUAAACUUCUUUUAUUUGGGAAGAAACCUUUCUACGAGUAGAGAGCUGACGGUACCAAAUGAAUAAGGACCGGCUAACUCCGUGCCAGCAGCCGCGGUAAUACGGAGGGUCCAAGCGUUAUCCGGAAUCAUUGGGUUUAAAGGGUUCGCAGGCGGUCUAAUAAGUCAGUGGUGAAAUCUCGGGGCUCAACCUCGAAACUGCCAUUGAUACUGUUAGACUUGAAUACAGUUGGAGUAGGCGGAAUGUGUAGUGUAGCGGUGAAAUGCUUAGAUAUUACACAGAACACCGAUAGCGAAGGCAGCUUACUAAACUGUUAUUGACGCUCAUGAACGAAAGCGUGGGGAGCGAACAGGAUUAGAUACCCUGGUAGUCCACGCCGUAAACUAUGAUUACUCGAUAUUGGCGAUAUACGGUCAGUGUCUCAGCGAAAGUGAUAAGUA